This 97-nucleotide microRNA precursor is filed under the name Mustela putorius furo (domestic ferret). RNAcentral describes it as "mir-544 microRNA precursor family". It matches the Rfam family "mir-544 microRNA precursor family". Lineage: Eukaryota; Metazoa; Chordata; Mammalia; Carnivora; Mustelidae. The record is from Rfam by way of RNAcentral.
GUCACCUCGGGAUCUUGUUGAAAUGCAGGUUCUAGUUUGGUAGGUUCAAGUAGAGAUCAAGAUUCUGCAUCUUUAACAAGCUCCCGUGUGAUGCUGA